This is a small nucleolar RNA of Aspergillus calidoustus, 94 nucleotides long. It matches the Rfam family "A. fumigatus snoRNA Afu_455". NCBI's taxonomy places the organism in Eukaryota, Fungi, Ascomycota, Eurotiomycetes, Eurotiales, Aspergillaceae. The record is from Rfam.
UGGUAUGAUGAUUCUUCGACACGCUAUAGGCAUUCCUCAAACUUAAUUUACCAUGUGGAAUCUGUCUUGUUUUAAGUUUCAGCCUUGUCUGACC